GUGGGAUAGUUUAGUCAGUAGUCCCGCAGGAAAUCCCAGAGAAUGAGGAACAUUCACCUUGCCAAGGUGAAUGUCGUGAGUUCGAAUCUCAUCGCCCGCUCCA
RNAcentral lists this transfer RNA (103 nucleotides) under Maricaulis sp. RNAcentral's name for it is "tRNA-Gly". The record is from RNAcentral. Lineage: Bacteria; Pseudomonadati; Pseudomonadota; Alphaproteobacteria; Maricaulales; Maricaulaceae.